Molecule: long non-coding RNA, 2025 nt
Filed under: Calidris pugnax (ruff)
Lineage: Eukaryota; Metazoa; Chordata; Aves; Charadriiformes; Scolopacidae
Description: lncRNA (ENSCPUG00000000707.1)
Source: RNAcentral
UCCACUGUGAAACCAGAGUGAUGGUGCCCCUCACUGCUCCCUUGGUUGCGCUGCUCCUUGCAGGGCUGUGGCUGUGCCCUGGCCAAUAGGAGUUCUUCAGAGUGCUGUUGGAAGCAUCUGAGCUUCCACUCGUCCAUGAAGGAGGCAGGGCUGUAAAACAACGUGGAAGUCUAGCACCAACAGCCACUUGGCCAUCUUUGGCAUUAGGCCUGAACUGGUGGGGGCCAGGGCAGGAUUACAUCACAAAAUAGUGUAUCUGGUGGGGGGUUGUUUUUCUAGCUGCCUCCUUGCUACUGCCCCAAAAGCUUCUGGUGAAGGGCAGAUUUGGUCUUGCCCCUUGUAUCUGCCUGUGCACCAGGCACUCCACACUCCUUCCUCUGCUUCAACCUCGGGAGAAGCUCCGUGCCGGCUGUGAGAUCUCAGCCUGGAUUAAGUGGCAAAGACAAAUCCUCAGCUUUGGGAAGAGCACACUUGACCUUUGCCUCUGUGGAGUUACGCUCUCCCUCGGGAGGAAGUAUUGGCUCAGCCGCUGAACAAAGCGCUGGCUGUCAUGAGCAGGACCUGCCCGCCUCGGGGAGGGAGGGCCUGGGGUGGGGGUCAGAUUUAUGCUCCGGAGGGGAGGAAGAGACAGCAGACCCAGUGACCUGGAAGCUUAGAGGUGAACAGCUCAAUUUACUGAGAAAUGCAAAGCUGCGUUGCUCUCCUCCGUUGGUAAAAAUGCACCGUCUGGGAUGGUCUGGGCAGACGGGCCUGCUGGCACGUCCAGAUGCAAGAGGGGAAUUUCCUUGGAAUUCUGGGGAGCUCUGCAACCUCAGCACCCAGCUUUUGAAACAGAUACACAAGGACGAAGAAUCUGGUCGAGUGCAAAAGCGCAACAGAAAUGUCUUUGCAUCUCCAUCAUUGCAGGUUGCAGGCUCCUUGGGAAGUGCUGAAGUGGUACCGGACAUCCGGAUGGGAGACUUUCCACUGAGGAGAGCACCCCAUGCUCCCUGCGUAUCCUCAAGCUGUUGCUCCUGCUUCCCUCUUCUCUUCCAGUCUGUGACAAGCUGGUGUUUGAUGGCUGCUGCAGAAAAAGCCUCCUGGUGUUAAGACCCCAGUGGAAAGGGGAAGAGAAGGCUGUGGAGAUUCAUGCUGUUGAGGCCCUUUCUACAGUCUCCUCAACAGUGCCCUAACCAUGUGGAGAGUGGUCCCUGUUCAUGGGUCACAGCCCUUAAAAAUGGCAAGAGGUUCUGCUUCCUUCUUUCCUUUCCUCCCUUAGUGAGGACAGCUGACUAAUGAGCACUCCAGUUGAAGCCCCUCAUCAGGCUGAUGUCCUGACCAGGCUUGCUCCUGCAGGGAAAGCGUGAUGGAAUGGUUUUCCUGGUCAGGGCAGCCUCUGUGCUCCGGGGGCACAGUCAGGCUUUCCUGGUUUCCAGGCUCCUCUCCCUGCCAUGUGUGUUUCCAGCCGCAGGUAUAGAAGAAGCAGAGAGGCCAGAGCAGCCUCCUGGGGAGAGGGGAGAUUGCAGUUGGAUCAUUGCAAACAGGACUCCAUUAAUUAUAAAUGGACAGGUUCCCCCGAGCUGCUGUAGCUUUGCAUAAGGCACAUUGUAGCUGAGAGGGGUUUUUUUAAUUUCUCCUGGAGAGUUGCUGAAGGGGCUUGGAAUAGUGUGAUGGAUAAAUAAGGCACCAGCUGUGCUCUGCAGCCAGCCCCACCAGAGCCUUUCUGCAGCAGUAGCCCACAGCAACCUCUGCUCGGCCUCACUCUGCACUCCCAUCCCUCGGGCUCUGCCAUCUGGUCCUGCUCUCCAGGUUUCUUCUUCCUAGCGGCAUGUUUUUGUCUCCUGUUGUAACCUCCUUUCCAGCAUGUGGUCUCAGCCCUCGGUAAGGCACAGACAUGUGUCUGGACAAGAACACGACUAAGGAGUCCAGUUGUGGGACACCCACUUGGCUGGUCCGUGCCUCCCUCCUCCGUCUCGGAGAUGGUCCUGGUUAAAUGAAAGCAGAAGGAACAAUAAAACCAGCAAACGUUGGCUUUCGACUAGGAGC